RNAcentral lists this ribosomal RNA (500 nucleotides) under uncultured bacterium. Its description in RNAcentral is "bacterial SSU rRNA". It matches the Rfam family "Bacterial small subunit ribosomal RNA", at positions 28 to 508 of the family's 1533-position model. The record is from RNAcentral.
GAUGAACGCUGGCGGCGUGCCUCAAACAUGCAAGUCGAGCGGGGCUAUGUAAUAUCGCAAGGUAGAACAUAGCCUAGCGGCGAACGGGUGAGUAACACGUGGGUAACCUGCCUGGAAGACAGGGAUAACGAUUCGAAAGGGUCGCUAAUACCUGAUAAUAUCCUUUCAUCGCAUGGUGAUAGGAAGAAAGGGGAAACCCGCUUUCAGAUGGGCCCGCGUCCCAUCAGCUAGUUGGUAAGGUAAAGGCUUACCAAGGCGACGACGGGUAGCCGGUCUGAGAGGAUGUACGGCCACACUGGGACUGAGAUACGGCCCAGACUCCUACGGGAGGCAGCAGUUGGGAAUCUUAGGCAAUGGACGAAAGUCUGACCUAGCGACGCCGCGUGAACGAGGGAGCCCUUCGGGGUGUAAAGUUCUUUUCUAUACGAGCAGUGCUAUAUAUAUGGAUAGUAUAUAUAGAGGGAUAGUAGUAUAGGAAUAAGCAACGGCUAACUCCGUGG